Molecule: long non-coding RNA, 11564 nt
Filed under: Nicotiana tabacum (common tobacco)
Lineage: Eukaryota; Viridiplantae; Streptophyta; Magnoliopsida; Solanales; Solanaceae
Description: long non-coding RNA (NTAB_LNC016114)
Source: RNAcentral
UGGGGAGUGCGUAACACCUUCCCCCCGAGUCAAAUGAACCCCCUUACCUGAAUCUCUGGUGCAAACUUAGUUUUGGAGUCCAAAGUGUUUUAAAAGGGAAAAAUUAUUUCUAAAAAAUGGUGACAUGGCACACCGAAACCAAUGUCAGGUGGCGACUCUGAAAAAUCCUUUUGAACACAAUUUUGUCACUUUUUAAUUAAAAACCCUUUUUGGGCUUACAAAUCCUUUUAUUAUUUUAAAAGGGUUAGUGAGGUUGUAAAAAGGGGUAUGACAUCUCUGGCGACUCCACUGGGGAGUUCCAGGUUCGAGCUGGUACUUGAUCUUGUUGGCUUUUAGGAUAUUCGUUUGAGGUGUUUGUUUUUUUAUUUGAUUUGUUUAUUUGGUUUAUUUGUCUUAUUUUCUUGUUUUGUUGGUCAUUUGUUUAUCGCUUUUCUUAUGUGUUACUGCUUUAUAAACUGUCAUCAUUUGUAUAACCAUGGGUCUUCUUUCUGCAACAAAUCUUCCGGAAUGCGUUUGAGCGUACACGGCCUUUUGUGAGUCACCCGUGUCUUUAGGGGGGGUGGCGUGGGAGCGUGGAGUGGGCGGACAACUAGAGCAGCCGCCAUCGACCACGUGCCGCCCCGAAUUGCCUUGUAUAGUGAACCCAAAACUUAGGUUAGCAUGUAGGUCAUUCUUAUUUGCAUCAUGUCAUUUGGACCUAGUAAGGCUCGGUCCUAGGUACCGUGUCUCUUUGUAGAAAGCCUAUCCAAAUUUUGUCAAAAAUGGGUGUGUGGCACAAAAAGACAUCCAAUCAUCCCUAUGUGAUACAUGUUGCAUCUUUAAGGGUAAAAAAGUCAUUUGGCGGACCGAUAUUUGGGAAAGAAGGGUGGAAAAUGAAGCAAGUAGGGCCCAAUUACUUUUUUCUUUCACAACCCUUUUCAAGAAAAAAAAAACAAAACAAUUUGAAAAUGAAAAAUCCAAAAAGAUUUUGCACUUUCCCAUCAUUUUCCAAAAAUCAAAAAAAAAAUCCAAAAGAUUUUACAUUUUCCAUCAUUUUUUCAAAAAGACAAAAAACUAUAGUUUUUCCAAAUUAGUUGCAUUUUUUAAGCUUUCUCCCGUGUCCGAUCUUCCCGAACUACGCAUACCUGAUUCUCGUCUUUCGUGGCAGGAUACAUAGGCAACCCACAUAGGGUUCGGUCUUCCUAGUGAGUUUAGGUUCUUGGCUUCGCGGGGUCCUAGCCAAAUCUUGCAUGUCCAGCCACUUUUGGCCACAUCGACAAUUCUUGCAAAAUGGGGUCAUUUUCGCAAAAGUGAUUCAAUAACCCAUGUCUUAGGAUCUUGAGUCCACAACUAGGUGUCAUAUUACUUUAAGGUCCGUCCUUUUUGAGUUUGCAUCUUUAGCCACUUCUGGCCAUAUCGGUCAUUUUUGCAAAAUGGGUUAUUUCUGCAAAUUAAUUUUGGGUCAUGAUUAUUGGGAAUUGAAUCCAUAUAAGCCUAAGUGAGGUAUUUCCAUAUCUAAGUAGUCACCCUUGUCGAGUUUGCACUUCUAGCCAUUCUUGGCCACGUAGGUUAAUUUUCAAAAAUAGCUCAAUCGUGUCUUGCAUGUGUCCAAUAGGAAGUGUUGUGGUGUUGCAACGUGUCUUGAGUAAUUGAUCUAUUUGGUAUUAUUUUUCUCAUUCAGGUGUGGAUUCAUUUACCAGGACUCGAGCAUGACAGAUACCCAGGACCACUGCAUUCAGGAGCUGCUUAAGGAGCUCUUUUAUAUUAUGAGUCUGUUUUUAUGUUUGUCUUUCCCUUUGUAUCAUGUCUAGUAGUUUUGAGUCUUUUAGGUGGUGUAAGAUUUUGUUAAGUCUUUUAUCAUCGUACUUUCCAUUUGUAUUUGAAAACCCAAAAAAAAAGUAAUAAAUGAAAAAUUCAAAAAGAUUUUUAGUUUAUUUGUUCAUUACUUUUUUCCAGAACUACGCUUGAUCUGAUUCAUGAGGGACAUGAUACGUAGGCAACCUACAUCAGGUUCGAUCGAAUCAUUUUUCUUGAAAACAAAAAAAGAGAGAAAAAAGGACAAGAAAAAAAAGAUGGAAUUGUGGAUGUGAGAAAUGAGAGAGAGAAAAGAGUGACAAUUAAAAAGAAAAAGAGAGGAAGGAAAAUGAGCAAGCCAAGAAGUAUUAGAAAAGAAAGAAAAGAGAAGGUUGAAGUGAACAAAAUUGGGAUGAUGCCAAAUUACCUUGUGACCCUCGAAGUCAUUCUAGAACCAUUAAUUGUUGCUAGGGACAUUGCACGCAAUGUGAUAUUUCUAUUUGAUAAAUGUCCUAACGCUAACAUGUUGGCUUUGUUUUGCUCCUUUUUGUUACUUUCAUUAUAACAGAGGGUGGUUAGUUUGUGGCACUUUGGUGAUUUGUCCAUACAACACAAGGUCAAAAUGCAAGGAAACCAUCGCUGGCAAAGACUUGGACAUAAGAGUUGUUAACCCCUCGAGGGAGAUUGUGGAGUCGGAAUCUAAAUUGACAAAGGAGGUCCAAAGGUUAAAACAACAAAUGUCUGAAAUGUGUCAAGCAUGUGCCAAUGGCCAAGGACCACCCCUUUCUUAUGUUUUCCAAGAGUUUACACCCGCCUCGACUACUACCACUCCGGUUUCAUUGUCUGAUCAAUUCUAUCCAUUUAGGUUCAGUCUGUAUCCCAAUUGUCGACUAUAGCUAGAACUUCUGUUGUGCACUCCCAAAGUGUGCUAUUGACAACCAGUCAGACAACCACAGUUAUGCUUGUCUUCACCAUCCCACAGCCGACAGUGGUGUAGAGGAAAACUCAUCAGUCAUAAUUUUCUACCCAGCAAGAACAAUACCACUCUCCUGAGUACCACUUUUACCUAUUUGAUUUUCCUGCAAAGAUUGAGAAGCCUACCCGAAAGAUAGCACAAGAAGAAAUAACCCAAAGACUGAAAAGCUUAGAAUAACAGUUGAAAACAUACAAGGGCUGGCAGGUCAGAAGAGUAUUGCAUUCAAGGAUCUAUGUAUGUUCCCCGAUGUUCAUUUGCCACUUGGUUUCAAGACUCCCAAAUUUGAAAAGUAUGAUGGACAUGGAGACCCCAUAGCCCACCAGAAAAGGUAUUGCAAUCAACUAAGUGGUGCGGGAGGAAAUGAAGAAUUACUAAUGGCUUAUUUUGGGGAAAGUCUUACGGGUGUAGCUUCCGAAUGGUUUAUGGGUCAAGACACAUCUUGCUUAUAUGUCUGGUAUGACAUGGUCCAGGCCUUUGUCAAACAGUUCCAAUAUAACAUUGACAUCGCCCCGGACCGUAGAAUAAGAAACCAACUGAAAGUUUCAAGGAAUAUUCCCUUAAAUAGAGAGAACAAGCGGCUAGAGUUAAGCCACCUGUGGAUGACCACGAGCUAAUCACUGUCUUCCUUCAGGAUCAAGAGUCUGAUUACUUUCAAAACAUGAUGUCCGCAAUGGGCAAAUCAUUCUCGGAAGCUGUCAAAAUGGGAGAAAUGGUAGAGAAUGGCCUUAAGUCAGGCAAAAUUAUAAGUCAAGCAGCUCCCAAAGCUGCAACUCAGGCUGUCCAAAAUGAAUCUAGUGAUUUUAGUGGCACGAAUGAGAAGGUUGAAGAAAUUAUGAUGACGUCAAGGUCGAGAAGAGGUCAUAGAAGAACAAUCGAAGGCAUGACCAACCUUGUUUGUUUUUUGACGAUUCCCUUGAGAACCCACAAUACUCUGUUGCUUUACCCCAGUAUGUUGUCCAGCCACCAAGACACCCUAGAAGACGAGCACUAGCACCGCAGAACCUCCACCAGCCUCCACAAAAUUUUCAAGUGCCCAUAACCCACAUGCAAGCUAGGGGUAUAGAGGUAAAAAGGGUUGAAAGAUAAUUUUACACCGAUAGGAGAGUCCUAUGCAAGCUUGUUUGAGAAAUUGAAGCAUUAUGACCUGAUUGCACCUAUUCCUCCAAAUCAUGUGGACCCGCGUGCAAGAAGCUUUAACCCUUCUAAAAGGUAUGAAUACCAUUCCAAUGCCCAGGGGCACAAUGUCGAAAGUUGUCGAGAUUUGAAAAGAGAAAUAGAAAGAAUGAUUCAAGAAGGGAUAAUUGUGAUCCAGGACAGUGACACCCAGAACAUCGCGCAGAAUCCUUUACCUGUACAUGAUGAUGCACAUUUUGUGGGGAGGAUGCGUGGUGACACGGAGUAUGAGAAUCCUCUUGGAAACUUGCUGACUGAAGUUAAUGAUAUUGAAAUUGGUGAAGGUCCCAUUAAUUUUGAUGUGCAACCCAGUGGCUAAGAUGUCGAGCUUGGUAAUUAGAAAAACUCUUCUUUCUUGGCUAGCCAGGAAAGAGUUUUGGUGGUUUAUUUUGUUGUCAUUUCUGUUGUCCGGGUUAUUUCAGGGUUGUAAUCCAGACAUUGUCUUGUUGGCUCAAACCCUUUUGCUUCUUAUUUUCCUAGUUCGUUUAGUGGUAGUAACUCGUCUAGUGUUAUCUAGGAUUGUUCCAGGGUUGUAACCCAUGUCUAUUUUUCUUGUUUUGUUCAAACCCUUUCCACCAUCUGUCUAAUGCAAUCUCUUGUUUUCUGUUAGUUCUAGUCAGUUUUUGUUUAGGUCAAUUUUUCUUUUAUAGUCCUUCUCAUGCUGACUCUAGUGACAUGAUACGCACACAUAAUUCUCAGCCUGAUCUUGAAAGUUAGUCUAAUCAUGAAGCAAUGACACAGUUUUAAAUAUGAUAAAGGGAUGCGUUUGAGGAAACAAUUAAAGAUUCACGCAUUCUGAUAUGACCUGAACUUUGAAUUGAGUGAAACUGAGGCAGUAAAUUCGGGAAAUCAAGAGGUUGAUAAGAGCAUACAACAAGGAAAUGUCUCUCAAGUAGUUUGAGGUAAAUCAGUUAGUGCUGAAAUGCAUUCUUCCACAUCAAGAUAAGGUUGAGUCUAGUCUGCUUCGAACUGGCAAGGGUCAUUCAUUGGGACAAAGGUAUUGCCCAUUGGCACUUUUUGUUUGUGUUGAUGCCAUCGAUAGAUACUAUGUCUGAUUUGUUUACUUAUCUUCAAUUGCAUGUUUGUACUUGACAUUUUUAAGUUUGGUAUGACGAAGGUGUUUUAUUUUGCUAUCCAAACACUUUUAUCCUUUGCUACCCCUUUUGAGCCCUAAUUUUUUGCUUCAUACCCCUCUUUUGGAAUCAGAAGUAAAGUUAGGAAUUAGAAAAGAAAAGAAAAAGAGAAAAAGGAGAAAAAUAAAGAAAAGAGAAAAAAAGAAGGAAAAAAAGAAAGAAAGAAAAAAAGAGGAAAUAAAGAAAAGGAAAAGAAAACAACAAAAUAGUCCAACUUUGUGUUUGAACUAUGGUCGACCUGAUUCUUGUCACCUCAAGAUACGUAGGCAGCCUUACGGUUCGGUCACAUAAAAUAAAUUAUUUCAUAAUCCCCGAAGUCAAGAGUGGGGCAAUUUUCUUAGAAAUCCCAUCAAAGACAAUAGAAAUAAAAAGCAAAAAAUAAAUCCCCAAACUCCAAGAAACUGGGGCAGGAGUUUUAAUUUUACCAAAAGAUCUGAUUCCAAAAGUUGUAUUUUUGAACCCUUUCAUCUUAAACUAUUUUGAACCUUCAUGUCACCCUUUCUUUCCAACCCUGUCCAAAGGCCUACAUUACAGUCCAAAGAAAGACCUUCUGACCAAUAUUUGAGGAUGUCAAAUCAAGUAUGUGACGAAAGUAUGAUCUUCCUGNNNNNNNNNNNNNNNNNNNNNNNNNGAGAGUCUUAUCGGUGAAAACCUUCAUGGGCACCGUAAGGCGACAGUGAGUUGAGAAAAGAGCAAAAUGAGAGAGGCUUGAUGGUGAAAACCCUUCAGGUCACCACAAGUCAACUGAGGAUUGUGGAUCAAAUAGGACAAUUGAAGUGCUGAAGCCCAAUUUCACAGCAAAGAGGUACAACAAGAGUUAAAUAUUAGACUUGCUUGAGAGAUUAGGCCACUUAAUCAAAAGGUGUAUGUCAUGGUCAUUAGAGUUGGUAUCCACAACUGAUAAGUUUCUACUUUGUAAUUUUCUUGUUAGGUAUCAUCUCUUUCCCUUGUCCCUUAUUUUGUUCCUCUUGUUUUGUUUAAGUCUCUUCUUGAGUCUGUUGGGUCAGAAUAAGUGAUAAAUGACUUCAAAAUUUAAUUUGGCUAGCAUAUCAAAGUGGCAUAAGUCAGGGAAAAGUGGUAUGUGCACUGAGUUGGUAACAAUCAACAUGCAUUGAGAUUCAGGUGAAAUGCAAGGGUUCAGUAAAUGUCAACUCAUGAGAAAAAUACAACAAAUGGAGGAUAUUAGGAUCAAAUGGAGCAGAGGUGGUUUCUGUGAUAAGGGUCGAUAGAAAAUGGGUAGUCGAUAACAGGCAAGGUCUUCCAAGUUGAAAUCAAAGUUAUCUUGGCAAGUGCAAAAGCAGCCGUCUUCAAGGUCAAGGCCAAAAACUAACCACCACAUUUAAACUCACAAGUUUUCUUUGUUUGAAACAGGAACAAAGUAGUGAAAGCAAGUGGGUUUAAAAAAAAGAAAAAAAAAAGAAAAGAAAGGGAAAAAAAGAAGAAGAGAAGAGCCGAUAAAGGGAAGUUUCUCAAAUCUUUGCCCUUACCUGUCUUGUUUGUGUGCCUAAGUUGUUGCCAUUGCUCUUCACAUUUUUCCUCCUAGGAUAAAAAGUCCUAGUCUUAUGGAUUUUCCUCCCAAUCAAAUCUUAGUCUGAUGAAUUUUUCUCCUAAGAUAGAAAACCUAGUCUGAUGAAUUUUCUCCUAGGAUCGAAGUCUUAGUCUGUUGAACCUUUCUCCUAAGAUAAGAAACCUAAUCUGAUGAAUUUUCUCCUUGAAUCGAAAUCUUAGUGUGAUGAAUCUUUCUCCUAAGAUAACAAAAAGGGACCUAGUUUGAUGAACUUUCUCCUAGGAUCAAAAUCUUAGUCUGAUGAAUCUUUCUCCUAAGAUAACAAAAAGGGACCUAGUCUGAUGAACUUUCUCCUAGGAUCAAAAUCUUAGUCUGAUGAAUCUUUCUCCUAAGAUAGAAAACCUAGUCUGAUGAAGUUUCUCCUAGGAUCAAAUCUUAGUCUGAUGAAUUUUUCUCCUAAGAUAGAAAACCUAGUCUGAUGAAUUUUCUCCUAAGAUAGAAAUCUUAGUCUGAUGAAUCUUUCUCCUAAGAUUACAAAAAAAGGAACCUAGUCUGAUUAAUUUUCUCCUAGGAUCAAAAUCUUAGUCUGAUGAAUCUUUCUCCUAAGAUAAAAAACCUAGUCUGAUGAAUUUUCUCCUAGGAUAGAUUUUUAGUUUUUCUUAAGUUAUUAUUCUUUAAUUUUCUGGAAAUCAGCGGUCCCACCCGGAGAAUAGGGUCAGUUUUUACUUUAGACAAGCUUAGUUUAUAGUUUUCCUUAAGCUCAAUCUUAAAUCUAGGAGACGCACUUCCUAGUCUGGGCCAUUCAGGUUCUAUUCUUAGCAAACACACUUGCUAGUCAAAUAUUCUUGGUUUGAUUCACGGGACGCACAUCCCAGUCAAGUCUUUAGUUUUACUCUCAUCAUUGUAUCAAUAGUAUAUGUGAUUUACAGUUUUUCUAAUAACUCACAAAUCUUCCUAGUGCAAACUGGGGCAGGAAAUUUUAUUUGUUUUAUUGUUUUGAUUGCAGGCACCUACUUGGAGAACGAGGGAAGACAUUUCAGAGUUCAUUUUAGAGUCAUUUCAAGUUUCAAGUCAGUAGCAGACACCCACCUGGAGAACGAGGGAAGUUAUUUCAGAAUUCAAUUCAAGUUAGAAGUAGCAAAAGCUCGCGGCUAGAAUGUGAGUCAACAGUCCGAGAUGAUCAACAGAAGUAAUCUCAAUCCAGAAUAAAAAAACAAAAAAAAGAAAAGAAAGAGGAAGUGAAUCCAAAAUGCAGAAGUUGAGACAAGAGGUGGAUUGCUCAAGACAUGACUGAAGUCACAAGCAUGGUGUGUCCGGUUUUGAUCCGAAAAGCUGAAGAAGAAUGAACUAGCACCUACAGCUAGCAAGCGUCAAGGUUCAAAUCUAAAGUCUGCAUGAAGAACCAUUCAAGACUCAAGAUCAAGUUUCAGAAGACUUAUAGAUAGGAAUCUUGUAACUCGUAGUUGACAGACUUAGUUAAUCUUUUUCAUUUUUUGAUUUUGAUGUAACAACAGGACCGCAAACUGGAACCUCGACCGGCUCUCCACCUCAAUAUACUCCAUCACCUCAUUCACUUCUGAACUACACAUGGCCUGAUUCCUUUAUUGCCAAGGAUAUGUAGGCAGCUCAGAUACCAGGGCUCAGUCACAUUCUCUUCCUUUCUCUUAGUUCUUGGUCUCUUUAAAUAAGAGUCGGGUCAAAAAAUCUGUCUCGUCGUUCUUUGUCUUAAAACUCUUCGUAUUUCCAGUCAAAGAGGGGCAGCUGUAGACAUGUAAUUUUUGACCCUCCCCAAGAUUUUAUGCAUUUUAGUGUUAAAUAUUUAAUUUAGGUCUAAUAUAGCUAUUUCAACUAGUUUUGACUCAUUUAUUUUAUUUUGUCACAAAAACAAAAAUUAAAAAAAAAAUAUUUUUCUUUUAUUUAGCUAAUUAAUAUUUCAUCUAGUUAUAUAUAGUUUAUCUUACUUCCUAUAAGGUGAAAAAUCACAAAAAAAGAGAGAGUCAUAUUUUUGUUUUGCAAAAGAUAAAAAGAAAAGCUUUAUAAAAUACAUCUCAUUUGGUUUAGUAUAAUAUUUGAGGAGUAGAUUUUAGUAAAUAAUAUCUUUAUUGAGUAACUUUUUUUUUAUUUCUAUUUAGAAUUAUUUGGAUUAUCUUAAAUAGUAUGUGACUAUAUAUUCAAUUAAUUGAUUUUGUUACUUUAUAUUAUUUUUCAAAAGAAAGAAACAAAAAAAAACGACAAAAUGAAAGAAGAGGAACGAGAAAUGCCAAAGCAAAAAUACAAAGGAAACAAAUGAAUUUAAGUGAUCGUCACUCAUUUUUGUCUUAUUUCUUUCCUAUUUUCCCAUAUCCCUCCUUCCAUUUUGUCCUUCCCAUAUCCUUUUCUUUAUUUUACCAAUAAAAUCUUGACACCUCACCCUUAAUUCAAUCCCUCAUCUAACAAAUUAAUCAAUUUCUACAGGUCAGCCAAUUUCAUAAAUACAAAUACUCACCACGUCACUUACACAAUUGGGGGAAUGCACUCAUUUCUGAUUAUGCCCACAGUACAUGUGCGCACUUGGGGACUCUUUUUUCUUUUUACAAGGUACUCUCACGUGACUCAAGGGAAGGGACCCUAUUCACAUUUUAUUUGUUUCUCGGGAACCAUUUUGAGGAAGCUCUAGAAUUUCCACUAGUAUAUAAAAAUAGAAGAUUAGGACGAACCCUAAGGACCGAGGAGCUCAACGGCGGCAGCAUAUAAGACCAUAGAUACAAUGUCUAUUUUGGGGUUUUCUCCUUCAUGAGCAUAUACAGUAAAGCCACUACGGAAACACCUUGAAUUGCCACCUAAAUUCCACAGUCUUUCACAUCCCUGCACCAAUGUUUCCUUCCUCCAAAUUCUAGCCAAAAGAAAAUGAUCUCCAUUUGAAUGAAAAGUUAAAAAGCACUCCGAAUUCCACUUCCAAAAGAAGCUGAGAUUUCAUUUUGUUGGUUUAAAAUUCUGAUCAAUUUCCGGGAUGAGAUUUGAGAUUGAGGCGCGGUCAACAGGUGAUCCGUUCGAGAUUUUCGAGUUCUGGGUUCGUUUACGGACUGAUUUUCGGUUCAUGUCCAAUAGUUGUUGCUGUUUGCCACUCUAUCUAUUUCCCGUCGACGGAUUUUUCCUCGCUUGAUCGAGUGUAAAGCUGUUUUGGGGCAAUUAUUGAAAAGCUACUCAAAGGUACACUUCAUUUCUCAUCUCAUAUUUGUCUUAUAUUAUGUUUUGUUUUUGUUUUAUAUUUUAGAGUUACAUUCCUUGGUUCAUUAUUUUGUAUUGAUCUACUUCAUGUUGAUUUACUGUCAUCUCUUGAUUAAAACUAAUGCAUGAAGAUUAAGGGUCUAAAUGCUUCGGGGAAUUUAAGUUAAAAAGAAAUUGAAAGGACUUGGAUAUGUUUGGGUUAAUCAGCAUGGUUAAUUAAGAAAAUUGGACUUUAGAUAUUUUAUUAGUUUUACGAUUAUUCGCUAGGAACAUGUUUUAGGCCGAUCAUACUUGGGUAGGCAAGCCUUAAGAUUUUAUUAGUUUUGACGCGAGAGGUCGUUUCCUUAGCUAAAUUUAUCCAGGGAAUGCCCCGAAGGAUUUGUAUAUAUUUUAUUCCAGGGUAUGCCCCGUAGUAUCUUGUAUUUGGAGGCCGAAAGUAGAACUCGUAGUAUUUUUAUUUUUAUUUUUAUAUUCAUUUUCAUCUAUUUAGGCGGGGAGGACCUCGAGCCUCCUUUGCGUUUAUUUUCUUUUUUCUGUGUUUUCUACCUCAAUUCGAAUAUUUUAAAAGCCGAUUAGAUCAAGUAUGCAACCGUACUAGUUAAGGGACUUGGGGAGUGCCUAACACCUUCCCCCGAGUCAAAUGAACCCCUUACCCGAAUCUCUGGUGCAGACUUAGUUUUGGAGUCCAAAGUGUUUUAAAAGGAAAAAAUUAUUUCUAAAAAAUGGUGACCUGACACACCGAAACCAAUGUUAGGUAGCGACUGAAAAAUCCUUUUGAAUACAAUUUUGUCACUUUUUAAUUAAAAACCCCUUUUGAGCUUACAAAUCCUUUUAUUAUUUUAAUAGGGUUAGUGAAGUUGUAAAAAAGGGGUGUGACAACCGUUACCCUCAUCUUUUCACUACUUCAAGUAUGUCUCUAUGCUCGUUCGAGGACUAAUGAAUGUUUAAGUGUAGGAGGAUAUGACGACCUGGCCGGUCGUCUUAAGAAUUUACGCCCCAAUCCCCCAUUAACUACUUUUCCCAAGUUUAUUUCUGCUAUUUUGAUUUGUCGGGAUGUUCGAUUUUAAGUUUCAGAGAGUUUUGGGACACUUAGUCCCUAAAUAAUAGCUUUAGUUUGGAAAUCUGAUGGUUCCUUUAGCUCCGUUGAAGGAUUUUGGGCUUAGGGGCGUGUUCAGGUUGUAUUUUGGAGGUCCGUAGCUAAUUUAGGCUUGAAAUGCCGAAAGUUGAAUUUUUGAAGUUUCCGGUUCGAUAGUGAAAUUUUGAUUCGAGGGUCGGAAUGGAAUUCCGAAAGUUGAAGUAGCUCCGUAGUGUUUAAUGUGACCUGUGUGCAAAAUUUCGGGUCAUUCGGACGAGGUUUGAUAGACUUUUUGAUCGAAAGCGUAUUUUUAGAGUUUUUGGAAUUCUUAGGCUUAAAUCCGAAGAAACAUAGGUGUUUUGAUGUUGUUUUGAGCAUUCCGAAGGUUAGAACAGGUUUGAAUGAUGUUUUAGGAUUGGUUGGCAGGUUUGGUUGAGGUCCUGGGGUCUCGGGUGUGUUUCAGAUGCUCAACGGGUCAUUUUGGACUUAGAGAAUUGCAGAAAAAUAUUGCAGCAGUCAGUUCUGGUUUCCUUCUUCGCGUUCACGAGUGGGGUCUCGCAUUCGCGAAGAGGAGCUGGGGCUGGUGAGGAAGCUUACGCGUUCCCGAGGCUGUGGUAUUUGUGCCUACGCGUUCGCGAAGGCAGUCUCGCGUUCGCGUAGGAGAAGAGAAAUGAUCAUCGCGUUCGCGGUUAGCCUCGCGUUCGCGAAGAAGGAAAUACC